GAUGAACGCUGGCGGCGUGCCUAAUACAUGCAAGUCGAGCGAACGGACGAGAAGCUUGCUUCUCUGAUGUUAGCGGCGGACGGGUGAGUAACACGUGGAUAACCUACCUAUAAGACUGGGAUAAAUUCGGGAAACCGGAGCUAAUACCGGAUAAUAUUUUGAACCGCAUGGUUCAAAAGUGAAAGACGGGCUUGCUGUCACUUAUAGAUGGAUCCGCGCUGCAUUAGCUAGUUGGUAAGGUAACGGCUUACCAAGGCAACGAUGCAUAGCCGACCUGAGAGGGUGAUCGGCCACACUGGAACUGAGACACGGUCCAGACUCCUACGGGAGGCAGCAGUAGGGAAUCUUCCGCAAUGGGCGAAAGCCUGACGGAGCAACGCCGCGUGAGUGAUGAAGGUCUUCGGAUCGUAAAACUCUGUUAUUAGGGAAGAACAUAUGUGUAAGUAACUGUGCACAUCUUGACGGUACCUAAUCAGAAAGCCACGGCUAACUACGUG
RNAcentral lists this ribosomal RNA (497 nucleotides) under uncultured bacterium. RNAcentral describes it as "partial 16S ribosomal RNA". It matches the Rfam family "Bacterial small subunit ribosomal RNA", at positions 28 to 507 of the family's 1533-position model. The record is from RNAcentral.